CGCACAGACGGUGCGGGCGCCGCUGUGUAGUGUGGGGUGGUAGCGGUAAUCGGAGAUUAUGGGCCUAAUGAGUUCGCAUUCGGUUUGGUAAGACAGGCGUGAAAGCCCCGUGCUGAACCUGGUAACUUCGCUUUUGACUGGCAGGCUAGAUUACGGCAGAGGGGGGUGGAAUUCCACGUGUAGCAGUGAAAUGCGUAGAGAUGUGGAGGAACACCAAUGGCGAAGGCAGCCCCCUGGGUCGAUACUGACGCUCAUGCACGAAAGCGUGGGUAGCAAACAGGAUUAGAUACCCUAGUAGUC
This 300-nucleotide ribosomal RNA is filed under the name uncultured Symbiobacterium sp. RNAcentral's name for it is "bacterial SSU rRNA". The stretch from base 52 to 300 matches the Rfam family "Bacterial small subunit ribosomal RNA", at positions 547 to 795 of the family's 1533-position model. The record is from RNAcentral. Lineage: Bacteria; Bacillati; Bacillota; Clostridia; Eubacteriales; Symbiobacteriaceae.